This is a long non-coding RNA of Salvia miltiorrhiza (redroot sage), 645 nucleotides long. RefSeq lists it as uncharacterized. The record is from RefSeq and is a predicted model, not a curated record. Lineage: Eukaryota; Viridiplantae; Streptophyta; Magnoliopsida; Lamiales; Lamiaceae. The transcript is spliced from 2 exons.
UUGUACGUCGAAUUUGGGCAAUCUAACGGUCAAUAAUUACGCUGAUCAACAAUCUAUAAAUUACGUCCAUUUUAUGAUUUGAGGAUAGAUAUGUAAUUUUGAUUUCAGCAUAUCCGUUUAUUUCAUAAAAUAGAUACAAUCAAAUCGGCUAUUUACGGAAGAGUAAUAAGUGGGAUAUGGUAGUUACGUCAAUAACGCUUUUUUUCCAACGUGCAGUGGCUUUCCUUCUUCACCGUGAAUUGCUGCUCAACACUUCAGAAAGAAUACUCUGCUUCGAAUGUAUGCCAUGGAAUCUCAAGGAUUCAUUCAUUAUAUGUGUUGCCAUGGAAGCACUCGUUGACAAUCUUAAAUAUUAAACAGAUUGUAAGAAAACUUUAUGAAAAACACAUUAUGUUGUUGUGGAGACCAUGAUUAGAAUAGAAAAUUUUGUUGAACAUCAAAGCACCAGAGAUUAAAACUAAAGUUUUCUAGAUGAAUUACGUUAUGUUCGAUCAAUAUGUUCAUUCAACUUGCAAACAUCUUCGGGGCUUCAAGUCGUAUAGACUGGUGGUUAUGCACUUUAAUAUCAUGAGCAUAGAUACUGAUAUGGAAAAUUCAUUUCUGAUCUUAUUCUUUGCUAUGCACUCAAAGGUAAAUGUUGGUUCA